AUAACAAAUUCUAAGGGAAUCUACUGGAUUUCAGCGGUAAUGGAAUGCCCAUCACGGGGCGCGCUGCCGGAUACAUUCGACAGUUACGCGUGCAGGGAUGCGGCACUGCUAACUUCGCUGGCUCAUGAUUUUGUCCAAGUUCUAUUAUCUGUACAAUGUCCACAUUAUAACGAUUCACUUUUCUAAAUGCGAAACCGUUACGACCAUUUGGCUCUUGCAGGCAGUACGGUAUAUCCAUACUUACUUGGGAAUCCUUCUGUUGGUUACCACCCGAAAAAAGGAGUACGGUCGACAGCAGUUCCUUGCGAAUGGUUGACAUUUACUCCUGUGGUCUAAUCUUGUUUGACAUACUGACAAUGGGAAAGCUUUUAGAGAAAAUUAGAUCAUAUGCCCAAGCUGAAGAAAGUCUGUACGAAAUUUUUUCUGGGACAACAAUUUUCUCGUGUUUGCCUGAAUUCGAAGUGAUACUGCGGUCGUGCAUCGCUCAGGAUCCGCUACAGCGACCAGACAUAAAAAGUCUAAUCCGUGCUCUGGACACUAUCAAUCCGCUGCUGGCUGCACAGGACAGGAAUACUACGCUCUUUGACCAAAUCUGUGCAGGGAUGGAAAACUGUUCAACCGAACUGGAAUAUCAAGUUACAAAGAGGACCGCCGAACUGAUAGAAGAAACAGAUAGAUGCGACGCAAUUAUAAAUCGAAUCUUACCACGAUCUAUCGCCAAACAGCUUCGGGCAGGUGAUAAAGUUCUACCUGAAUAUUUCGAAUGCGCCACCAUUCUGUUUACCGAUUUACAUGGAUUCGCUGACUUCGUUGAGAUCAACCUACCUGAGAUGACGA
Molecule: long non-coding RNA, 837 nt
Organism: Paramacrobiotus metropolitanus
Lineage: Eukaryota; Metazoa; Tardigrada; Eutardigrada; Parachela; Macrobiotidae
Exons: 3
Source: RefSeq, a predicted model, not a curated record